This 431-nucleotide ribosomal RNA is filed under the name uncultured bacterium. RNAcentral describes it as "partial 16S ribosomal RNA". It matches the Rfam family "Bacterial small subunit ribosomal RNA", at positions 338 to 795 of the family's 1533-position model. The record is from RNAcentral.
CCUACGGGAGGCAGCAGUAAGGAAUAUUGGUCAAUGGGCGGAAGCCUGAACCAGCCAUGCCGCGUGCAGGAAGACGGCCUACGGGUUGUAAACUGCUUUUGCAGGGGAAUAUGUACUCUGAGAAUAAGGAUCGGCUAACUCCGUGCCAGCAGCCGCGGUAAUACGGAGGAUCCGAGCGUUAUCCGGAUUUAUUGGGUUUAAAGGGUGCGUAGGCGGCUUUGUAAGUCAGGGGUGAAAGACGGUAGCUUAACUAUCGCAGUGCCUUUGAUACUGCAGGGCUUGAAUGUACUUGAGGUAGGCGGAAUGUGACAAGUAGCGGUGAAAUGCAUAGAUAUGUCACAGAACACCAAUUGCGAAGGCAGCUUACUAAGUUGAUUGACGCUGAGGCACGAAAGCGUGGGGAUCAAACAGGAUUAGAUACCCUUGUAGUC